CCUACGGGAGGCUGCAGUGAGGAAUAUUGGUCAAUGGACGAGAGUCUGAACCAGCCAAGUAGCGUGAAGGAUGACUGCCCUAUGGGUUGUAAACUUCUUUUAUAUGGGAAUAAAAUGUUCCACGUGUGGGAUUUUGUAUGUACCAUAUGAAUAAGGAUCGGCUAAUUCCGUGCCAGCAGCCGCGGUAAUACGGAGGAUCCGAGCGUUAUCCGGAUUUAUUGGGUUUAAAGGGAGCGUAGGUGGAUUGUUAAGUCAGUUGUGAAAGUUUGCGGCUCAACCGGAAAAUUGCAGUUGAAACUGGCAGUCUUGAGUACAGUAGAGGUGGGCGGAAUUCGUGGUGUAGCGGUGAAAUGCUUAGAUAUCACGAAGAACUCCGAUUGCGAAGGCAGUUCACUGGACUGCAACUGACACUGAGGCUCGAAAGUGUGGGUAUCAAACAGGAUUAGAUACCCGUGUAGUC
This 460-nucleotide ribosomal RNA is filed under the name uncultured bacterium. Its description in RNAcentral is "partial 16S ribosomal RNA". It matches the Rfam family "Bacterial small subunit ribosomal RNA", at positions 338 to 795 of the family's 1533-position model. The record is from RNAcentral.